GGGGAAUCUUCCGCAAUGGACGAAAGUCUGACGGAGCAACGCCGCGUGAGUGAUGACGGCCUUCGGGUUGUAAAGCUCUGUUAAUCGGGACGAAAGGCCUUCUUGCGAAUAGUUAGAAGGAUUGACGGUACCGGAAUAGAAAGCCACGGCUAACUACGUGCCAGCAGCCGCGGUAAUACGUAGGUGGCAAGCGUUGUCCGGAAUUAUUGGGCGUAAAGCGCGCGCAGGCGGAUUGGUCAGUCUGUCUUAAAAGUUCGGGGCUUAACCCCGUGAUGGGAUGGAAACUGCCAAUCUAGAGUAUCGGAGAGGAAAGUGGAAUUCCUAGUGUAGCGGUGAAAUGCGUAGAUAUUAGGAAGAACACCAGUGGCGAAGGCGACUUUCUGGACGAAAACUGACGCUGAGGCGCGAAAGCCAGGGGAGCGAACGGGAUUAGAUACCCCGGUAGUCCUGGCCGCAAACGAUGGGUACUAGGUGUAGGAGGUAUCGACCCCUUCUGUGCCGGAGUUAACGCAAUAAGUACCCCGCCUGGGGAGUACGGCCGCAAGGUUG
RNAcentral lists this ribosomal RNA (549 nucleotides) under uncultured bacterium. Its description in RNAcentral is "bacterial SSU rRNA". It matches the Rfam family "Bacterial small subunit ribosomal RNA", at positions 356 to 896 of the family's 1533-position model. The record is from RNAcentral.